Unclassified non-coding RNA from Pteropus vampyrus (large flying fox), 245 nucleotides. Its record names the gene 7SK. It matches the Rfam family "7SK RNA". From Rfam's summary of the family: 7SK was discovered as an abundant small nuclear RNA in the mid-70s but a possible function has only recently been suggested. Two independent studies have found that 7SK RNA binds the CDK9/cyclin T complex (known as elongation factor P-TEFb). P-TEFb activates transcription by phosphorylating the C-terminal domain of RNA polymerase II. Lineage: Eukaryota; Metazoa; Chordata; Mammalia; Chiroptera; Pteropodidae. The record is from Ensembl.
GCAUGUGUUUCUCCUCUCGUCACGAUUUCAUGUUUGUCCCUUACAAAGCUAUAUACUUGAUGAAAGCGGAAGCACUUCCUGGAUAAGGGCUCUAAAUCUAAUCUUUCUGGAUAAGACCCUCUGUUCAAGGAUCUGUGGGUAGGCCUAAAUGGUUAAUAGAACCUCCAAACAAAUCUCAAGAAUCACUGAUAGGAGAAAGUAAGCUUGUCAAACUUAAGUUAAAAUAUUUAAGACCAGGUCUUAAA